GAAGAGAAAGGCUGAUUCCGAACAAGUACUCUUCGUUCUUCCAAAGAGAAAGGCCGAUUCAGGCGAAAGCAUUGGCGAUUGGGAACGCCUCUUGACUGAAACUCUUCACAAUCUUCAGAGGCCCGAUCUUGGCCCCGAGCAACUUCUAAGGAUGCAGAGAAAGCUCAAUUUCAUCAGAGAACGCAUCGAGUCAAGGUUGCAUGCUAUUUCGGAUCCAAUCAACUGCUGUUGAUUUUCUUUCAAGAUUGUUCUAGAGUUCCAAAUUUUGGGAGAUGAAUAUUCCUUCAAUUAUUUUGUUUGACCGUCGGUGACUGAACGCAUCGAUUUAAAAUUUCACGCCCUUUCAACACUGUUGAUUGGUUCCGUUGAUUUACAAGAUUAUUGCACUCCCUUUUGGUUACAAGAUAUUCCUUCGAUUCAAUAUUUUGACGAUCGGUGACUGCUGGAACCUGAAUUUCGGCCUCUCAUAUCUGAAGGUGUACAAACAUUGAUAAGGUUGGUGCAAAGAGCUAUUACGGUCAAAAGGUGAUCCUAGGAUGAACGAGGAUUUGCAUAAUGAUUCGGGACCAGGAGGUUCCUGAUGUAAUUAUAAGACUCCCCAGCCUAAUGAAUUUGGAGGUGACACAUCCAGUUCACAUGCUAAGACAUGGGAGCAAAAAGAAGAUUGCACCAUGGAAAAAUCUUAUGUUGUGAUACUUCCAUUGAGCAUCUUAAUCCACAUUCAAGAUGUUUUACAGCACGAUAUGAAUGUUUGCAGUUGAUUCAAGGAUAUAUCCAAUUGUGUACAAGCUUGAAAGCAUCCUUUAGAAUUUGGUGAUGGAAAAUGGCGAUUUAUCUUGCUGUGUUCGAGCAAUGGGAUCAGAAUUGGUUCUCUGUUUGGUUGGAAAUACCAAAGGAGAACAGUCUAAAAGGCGUUUCAGAACCAGAUUGAAGAAUGCAAGUCUUCAAAUUGGAAGAAAAAUGUGGUACAGAGUUGAAUUUUAUUGCUCUGUAAACAAUCCUGAAU
Molecule: non-coding RNA, 1006 nt
Organism: Carica papaya (papaya)
Lineage: Eukaryota; Viridiplantae; Streptophyta; Magnoliopsida; Brassicales; Caricaceae
Source: RefSeq, a predicted model, not a curated record